Molecule: long non-coding RNA, 269 nt
Organism: Daphnia pulicaria
Lineage: Eukaryota; Metazoa; Arthropoda; Branchiopoda; Diplostraca; Daphniidae
Exons: 2
Source: RefSeq, a predicted model, not a curated record
GCAACAGCUCGCCACACCCUUCACCAGCUCACCGCAACAAGUCCACGUGGAGAUUCAAAUGCCAUGAAAAAUCUUAACUUCACUAAGCCACUACACCAUGGAAUAAAAAUUAAUUACUAUCCAAGAACAAGAGACAAAGACCUACUGGGAUAAGACUGACAAGGACAGAAAUGUAUCACAGGCAUGACAGAUUGACAAGUAUUCUAUCAUUCUUCUUAAUCUUCUUCAGCAUUUAAAUAAAAGCAUCUGUUUAUUUCCACAUUCAAAAA